Callithrix jacchus (white-tufted-ear marmoset) is the source of this 1555-nucleotide long non-coding RNA. The record is from Ensembl. Lineage: Eukaryota; Metazoa; Chordata; Mammalia; Primates; Cebidae.
CCGGUGAUUCCGGCCGUGCUUUGAUCUUCAACUCUCUAGCCUCCCAAACUAUGAGAAAAAACAUGUAUUGUUUAAGUCCCCAGUGUAUGGUAGAUUGUUACAGCAGCCUGGACAACGACAGGAAUUAGCAGCAAGGGCUGGGAAUGGGGCUCUCAGAAAAAAGAAAAACAACUGUGAAAUAUACAAGUAGCUUUGGAAGUGGGUGGCAGAGUCUGGAAGAGCUUUGAGGUCCAUGCUGGCAGCCAAGGCCUAAGGAAGUGAAGGGUGUUUUAAGGGAGAUUCUGGUAAGCAUUCAGAACGAAAACGAGAGCGGUAGGAAAAGCUUCAGUUUCCGUAGAGAACACCUGAGCAGUUCUGAGCAGAACGUCGAUGUCAAUGUGGGUGAUAAAGGUCAUUCUGAUGAAGUCCCGGACAGAAAUGAACUAGAGCAAAGGCAUUCUUGUUACAAAGUGGCAAAGAACUUGGCUAAGCUGUGUUCACGGUAUGGUGUUUUGUGGAAGGCAGAACUGGUGAGUGAUGAAAUUGGACAUUUAGGGGAGGACAUGUAAGCAGUGUUGCGGGAGUGGCUUGCUUCCUCCUGACUGCUUAUAGAAAAUGCAAGAAGGAAGAAAAAACUUGAAGACAGAGUUAUUAAGCAAAAAAGGAAAUAGAACUUAAAGAUUUGGAAAAUGCUCAGACUAUUCAUACCGAAAAAAAAUGAGAAAGUGUAUCUGGAAGAGAGUACCAAGUUUGCGGCCCAAGGACACUUUGGUAAAGACAUUAGCAAGGGUGUGAAUCACAACGUUAAUUGGGUGCCCCAGCAGGAAAACUGAAUGCGAGCAAGGAUGUGGGAAGGGGUGAAGGAAGGUCACCUGACUUCCUGAAUUUUGUAGGACAAGACCAGAGAGCUGUUUGAAAGUGCCCUGUUCCUCAAAACAAGGGAAGGAUGACACUAAGGAAGAUUCAGAGAUCACUGGACUCCAUUUUCAGUCUCAAACUGGAGCGUGAAGAAGCAACACGCUUUGCUGCAAAGACUGUUAAGUUGACAGGAGAGAACGAUCAUUGCCAUCGACAUCUCACAAAAAGCGUAGACAUCAAAGUGGCACCCACCCUAGGAACUCGGUUUUCAUCUUCUCUUUCCUCUUGUUGUUUCAUCUUAUCUUAUUGGCCUGGGACAUUCCACGAGGACUGGAAUAGCGACGUUUGCACUGAGAGGAUGACAUCAGUUCGAAAUCGUGCUGUCAGGAUAAACAGAAAACCCUUCACUAUUUGAUUAUCUAGCAAGAAAUUAAUGGCUAUCCAUAAAAUGUCUAAUAAAGUGAUCUGUUUAUUCUAGAGGCUGUGGGAACUCUUUGUUUGCUUUCCUCACCCUUAUGCUUGCUCUUCUCCUGAGCGCGAGAUGACUAAUUGGUUUAACACAGUCAUAAAAUCAGCAGCCUGGCUCCUUCCACGCCAGGAGAGCCCUGCAGAACCGAAGCAGUGCACACGCCCUGCGAGCAAAUGCAGGGGAGCAGAAUUGUCCGAUUCCCGUUGCAUUGAUAUCCCGUUUUUACUCCAGUUAGACCUGAAGCCCGUC